CGGGUGAGUAACACGUGGGCAACCUACCUGUAAGACUGGGAUAACUCCGGGAAACCGGGGCUAAUACCGGAUAAUACUUUGCUUCGCAUGAAGGAAAGUUGAAAGAUGGCUUCUAGCUAUCACUUACAGAUGGGCCCGCGGCGCAUUAGCUAGUUGGUGAGGUAAGAGCUCACCAAGGCAACGAUGCGUAGCCGACCUGAGAGGGUGAUCGGCCACACUGGGACUGAGACACGGCCCAGACUCCUACGGGAGGCAGCAGUAGGGAAUCUUCCGCAAUGGACGAAAGUCUGACGGAGCAACGCCGCGUGAACGAAGAAGGUUUUCGGAUCGUAAAGUUCUGUUGUUAGGGAAGAACAAGUACCGUUCAAACAGGGCGGUACCUUGACGGUACCUAUCGAGGAAGCCCCGGCUAACUACGUGCCAGCAGCCGCGGUAAUACGUAGGGGGCAAGCGUUGUCCGGAAUUAUUGGGCGUAAAGCGCGCGUAGGCGGUUUCUUAAGUCUGAUGUGAAAUCUUGCGGCUCAACCGCAAGCGGUCAUUGGAAACUGGGGAACUUGAGUACAGAAGAGGA
This 571-nucleotide ribosomal RNA is filed under the name Gracilibacillus sp. YIM 93806. Its description in RNAcentral is "bacterial SSU rRNA". It matches the Rfam family "Bacterial small subunit ribosomal RNA", at positions 103 to 658 of the family's 1533-position model. The record is from RNAcentral. Lineage: Bacteria; Bacillati; Bacillota; Bacilli; Caryophanales; Bacillaceae.